UCUCUUCUGAUUCCCCCCCAAACAGCCCAUUAUCUCUUUAGAAAUAGCAACUCAGCUGCUCGGGGUCCGCCCGCCGCCGCCGCUGAUUGGAGGAUCUCCGGGCUAACCUCGCCAUUGCGACUCUGGUUGGCCGGCCGAGCCGUCAGUCAGCCGGCAUCCACUGGCCAUUCCUGAAUGGCGAACGAGGGUCAACAACAGAGGUAGAAGAGGCAUAUUGGUCACUGUCAUCUGUUCCUCUUCUUGUGGUUCCACGUUAAACGUGAAGCAAAUUACAUACAGAUUUGCAGCAUCUGCUGUCGUUUGGAGGCACAAGAGGCCUUUCCACUGGAUUGGGUGAAUGUGUGACUUCAACUGAAGCUCAGAAAGCAAGUGGGAUUUGCGAGCAAUUUCAAGCCAACAUCUUCUGAUGGACUAACAGCAGCGAGUCGCUGGCUUUGACCUUCCAAGAUACUUGUCUGGCAACUCUAAACUGGAC
Molecule: long non-coding RNA, 475 nt
Organism: Pristis pectinata (smalltooth sawfish)
Lineage: Eukaryota; Metazoa; Chordata; Chondrichthyes; Rhinopristiformes; Pristidae
Exons: 3
Source: RefSeq, a predicted model, not a curated record